UCUGCUCUGAGAGAGCUCGAUGGCAGGUGCCUCCGUGUUGCCGAACCCUCCUACGCUGCUCUCUCACUCCAG
Molecule: microRNA precursor, 72 nt
Organism: Homo sapiens (human)
Lineage: Eukaryota; Metazoa; Chordata; Mammalia; Primates; Hominidae
Source: Ensembl